AGAGUUUGAUCAUGGCUCAAACGUACGCUGGCGGCACGCCUAACACAUGCAAGUCGAACGAAGUAGCAAUACUUAGUGGCAGACGGGUGAGUAACAUGUAGGUAUCUGCCCUUUGGCCUGGAAUAACACGAGGAAACUUGUGCUAAUACUGGAUAAGUCUUUACGGAGAAAGCUUUAUGCACCAUUGGAUGAGCCUGCACUUGAUUAGUUUGUUGGUAGGGUAAUGGCCUACCAAGACUGUGAUCAAUAGCUGAUUUGAGAGGAUGAUCAGCCACAUUGGGACUGAGACACGGCCCAAACUCCUACGGGAGGCAGCAGUGGGGAAUCUUGCACAAUGGAGGAAACUCUGAUGCAGCGAUGCCGCGUGAGUGAAGAAGGCCCUUGGGUUGUAAAGCUCUUUCGUCGGGGAAGAAAAUGACUGUACCCGAAUAAGAAGGUCCGGCUAACUUCGUGCCAGCCGCCGCGGUAAUAC
RNAcentral lists this ribosomal RNA (472 nucleotides) under uncultured bacterium. Its description in RNAcentral is "bacterial SSU rRNA". It matches the Rfam family "Bacterial small subunit ribosomal RNA", at positions 8 to 526 of the family's 1533-position model. The record is from RNAcentral.